AUGGAAACACAUCGUGCGUACUGCCUACCUUGUUUUCUCUUCACAAAAAGGCCAAGUGGAAGGUGUGGCUCUGAUUCAUUCACAGUCAAGGGAUUUAAUAAGUGGAAGAAGGUGAAUAAUGGAAAGGAAUGUGCUUUCUUAACUCACAUGGGCAAAGAUUCCAACUCUGCUCAUAACUUUUCUCAGCGAUGUCAUGAUAAUCUGAAAAAUAGUGUGACUCACAUCGACAAGGCAAUGGUGAAAGUGUCUGAAAAAAAAGUUACAGAUGCAAGGCUAAGGCUUAAAGUUACAAUUGAUUGCAUCAAGUAA
Molecule: ribosomal RNA, 309 nt
Filed under: Triticum aestivum (bread wheat)
Lineage: Eukaryota; Viridiplantae; Streptophyta; Magnoliopsida; Poales; Poaceae
Description: partial small subunit ribosomal RNA
Source: RNAcentral